CAGUAGCCGCGGGAAUACGAGGGGGGCAAGCGUUGUUCGGAAUUAUUGGGCGUAAAGGGUGCGUAGGCGGUUCAGCAAGUCUCGUGUGAAAUCUUCGGGCUCAACCCGAAGUCUGCACGGGAAACUACUGGGCUUGAGUAAUGGAGAGGUGAGUGGAAUUUCCGGUGUAGCGGUGAAAUGCGUAGAUAUUGGAAGGAACACCUGUGGCGAAAGCGGCUCACUGGACAUUUACUGACGCUGAUGCACGAAAGCUAGGGGAGCAAACAGGAUUAGAUACCCCCGUAGUCCCUGUCUCUUAUAC
RNAcentral lists this ribosomal RNA (301 nucleotides) under uncultured bacterium. Its description in RNAcentral is "partial 16S ribosomal RNA". It matches the Rfam family "Bacterial small subunit ribosomal RNA", at positions 509 to 807 of the family's 1533-position model. The record is from RNAcentral.